RNAcentral lists this ribosomal RNA (513 nucleotides) under Acontista gracilis. RNAcentral's name for it is "partial 16S ribosomal RNA". It matches the Rfam family "Bacterial large subunit ribosomal RNA", at positions 1829 to 2600 of the family's 2925-position model. The record is from RNAcentral. Lineage: Eukaryota; Metazoa; Arthropoda; Insecta; Mantodea; Acanthopidae.
GGUUUCUUGAUGAAGGAUAAGAGAUUUAACCUGCCCACUGAUAUUAUAAUUGAAGGGCCGCAGUAAUUUGACUGUGCAAAGGUAGCAUAAUCAUUAGUCUUUUAAUUGGAGGCUGGAAUGAAUGGUUGGACGAGGUAUAAGCUGUUUUAUAUUAAGAAAUUGAAUUUUGAUAUUGAGUAAAAAGACUCAAAUAUAAUUAAGGGACGAGAAGACCCUAUAGAGUUUAAUAAGUGUAUAUUUAAUUAAGUUAAUAGUGAAUUUUUGGUUAUUAGAAAGCUUAUUUGGUUGGGGUGACAAAAAGAUAAAGUAACUCUUUUUUCAAUUGAAUGUUAAUGAGUAGUAGAAUGAUCCAUGAAUGGUGAUUAUAAGAUUAAAUUACCUUAGGGAUAACAGCAUAAUUUCUUUUAAGAGUUCUUAUCAAAAGAGAAGAUUAUGACCUCGAUGUUGGAUUAAGAUAAAUUUUGGGUGUAGAUGUUCAAAUAAUUAGGUCUGUUCGACCUUGAAAAUCUUACA